CUUGGUCAUUUAGAGGAAGUAAAAGUCGUAACAAGGUUUCCGUAGGUGAACCUGCGGAAGGAUCACUAGUGAUUAAAUCGAGCGUGUCUUCAUUGACCGCUCACCCUUCUCACCAUCCACAUACACCUGUGCACUGUUUACCCUGAGCCGGUUUUCCGGUCCCCGUUAUCAUUUCGUACCUCCUCUAAUCUUAUGAAUGUAAACCUUUUAAUAACAUAAUACAACUAUCAACAACGGAUCUCUUGGUUCUCGCAUCGAUGAAGAACGCUUGGAAAUGCGAUAAGUAAUGUGAAUUGCAAAAUUCAAUGAAUCAUCGAAUCUUUGAACGCACCUUGCGCUCCUUGGCAUUCCGAGGAGCAUGCCUGUUUGAGUGUCCUGAAACUCUCGCCCUCUAGAUUUCUUAAUCGUGGCUAGCGGCCUGGACUGGAGCGCUGCUGCUUUGUUGCGGCUCGCUCGAAAUGCAUUAGCAGACCCUUUUCGUACUCGGUUCCACUCAACGUGAUAAGUAUUUCGUUGAGGACAGUUGCACCUGUGCGGCUGGCCGGGAUAAGAAAGGCAUACCUGUCAUCUUCUAAUCGCCCUUGGGCAAUUUUUUAUGAUCUGGCCUCAAAUCAAGUAGGACUACCCGCUGAACUUAAAGCAUAUCAAUAAGCGGAGGA
RNAcentral lists this ribosomal RNA (659 nucleotides) under uncultured fungus. RNAcentral's name for it is "eukaryotic LSU rRNA". The stretch from base 223 to 376 matches the Rfam family "5.8S ribosomal RNA". Lineage: Eukaryota; Fungi. The record is from RNAcentral.